GAUGAACGCUGGCGGCGUGCUUAACACAUGCAAGUCGAACGGAAAGGCUCCUGCUUGCAGGGGUACUCGAGUGGCGAACGGGUGAGUAACACGUGGGUGAUCUGCCCUGCACUUCGGGAUAAGCCUGGGAAACUGGGUCUAAUACCGGAUAGGACGAUGGUUUGGAUGCCAUUGUGGAAAGUUUUUCGGUGUGGGAUGAGCUCGCGGCCUAUCAGCUUGUUGGUGGGGUAAUGGCCUACCAAGGCGUCGACGGGUAGCCGGCCUGAGAGGGUGUACGGCCACAUUGGGACUGAGAUACGGCCCAGACUCCUACGGGAGGCAGCAGUGGGGAAUAUUGCACAAUGGGCGAAAGCCUGAUGCAGCGACGCCGCGUGGGGGAUGACGGCCUUCGGGUUGUAAACUCCUUUCGCUAGGGACGAAGCGCAAGUGACGGUACCUGGAGAAGAAGCACCGGCUAACUACGUG
This 465-nucleotide ribosomal RNA is filed under the name uncultured bacterium. Its description in RNAcentral is "partial 16S ribosomal RNA". It matches the Rfam family "Bacterial small subunit ribosomal RNA", at positions 28 to 507 of the family's 1533-position model. The record is from RNAcentral.